AACAAGAUCUAAGAUCUAAACUUCCAGAAUUGAAACAAGCACGAAAUUACUAAAUUUAAUUGAAGCAAAAACGAAUUGAAACAAUCAAACAAGAAAACAAACAUAAAAGAAUAAGAUGAAGAAGAAAACAAACACAAGAACAAUAAGAAUAAGAAAACAAAUAAACACAGAUCCUAGAGCUAAGAUAAAUAAGAAUUUACCUUAAUCUUUGGCUCUGAUACCAAACUGACGCGGAACCCAAUGAAAAUAAAUUUCAUGAACUCAAUGACAAGUUUUGGAAUAGAUCAAAGAUCUAGAAUAAAUUCCCCUCUAUGGCACCCAAAGCUUAAAGAAG
This 334-nucleotide long non-coding RNA is filed under the name Jatropha curcas. RNAcentral's name for it is "long non-coding RNA (JCUR_LNC003265)". Lineage: Eukaryota; Viridiplantae; Streptophyta; Magnoliopsida; Malpighiales; Euphorbiaceae. The record is from RNAcentral.